Long non-coding RNA from Prunus dulcis (almond), 229 nucleotides. RefSeq lists it as uncharacterized. The transcript is spliced from 4 exons. The record is from RefSeq and is a predicted model, not a curated record. NCBI's taxonomy places the organism in Eukaryota, Viridiplantae, Streptophyta, Magnoliopsida, Rosales, Rosaceae.
AUACUGUGUUUGCUGAUCUUAGCUGGAGCAGGGUAUACUAGCACCAUCCUGCUUAAGAAUGGUAAAUUAUCUGACUUGAUCGGUGAACUUCAGUCUUUGUUGAAUGGAACCGGAGAACAAUAAGCUGGUGACUUUGAUGCGAUCGCAUCACAGGUGCGCCGACUGGCAGCUGAGGUCCGGCAACUUGGCUUGUCACGACAGAUAACCGUCCUGAAGGGGAAUGAUAGCC